GAUCAUGGCUCAGGAUGAACGCUAGCUACAGGCUUAACACAUGCAAGUCGAGGGGGCAGCAUGGUCUUAGCUUGCUAAGGCUGAUGGCGACCGGCGCACGGGUGAGUAACACGUAUCCAACCUGCCGUCUACUCUUGGCCAGCCUCCUGAAAGGAAGAUUAAUCCAGGAUGGCAUCAUGAGUUCACAUGUCCGCAUGAUUAAAGGUAUUUUCCGGUAGACGAG
Molecule: ribosomal RNA, 223 nt
Filed under: uncultured bacterium
Lineage: Bacteria
Description: partial 16S ribosomal RNA
Rfam family: Bacterial small subunit ribosomal RNA
Source: RNAcentral